UGGAGUAAGGACAUGGUUCCUGUCCUCUCCUCCCGUCUAGUCACGCCGCCGCGAAAGUUUUCUGUUUUGCUGGUGCUCGCUCCUAACCUUUCCUUAUCCAUUACUGACCCGUGAUAUGUUGCGCUGUCAGUACUGGUUAACCAUGGAUGCUUAUUCUUCACACCAAGUACUGUUUAUUAAUGUUUUAAAGUGAAGUCAGUCUUAACAUUACUGGAAGUUCACGGACAUUUUUAAAGCAUUACAAAUUUUUAUAGGUCCUCUUCCUGGCCUUACUUGGUAGAUCAUCAGGCAACCCUCAAUAGGUGUGGCACAGGUGUCAGGGGGUGGCCUUGACCACACCUUACACCUGUUGAUUGGCGACUUGAUUCUCCUCACCACCUGCCCGUGACCCUCGCAGAUAAGGCGUCGUCAGGGGGCCCCAGCAUGGCGGUCAGGGGAACAUGGGCGUGUGUGGGGGCGGCGUGUGGUAUCCCGCCCUUCCUCCGCCUCCUUCUCCUGGUGCUGCUGACGGUGUCCUUACAGUGUCGUGUCGCCUGGGCCGCCCUUCUCCGGCCGGUCAACACUGAUGGAUCGUGUGAGCCCAGGUGGUUCCACUGUGGGGAGAACGGAACGAUGUGUGUGGAGCAGAGGUUUGUGUGUGACAGAGACGAAGACUGUCCCUCUGGUGAAGACGAACUCAAUUGCC
Long non-coding RNA from Homarus americanus (American lobster), 685 nucleotides. RefSeq lists it as uncharacterized. The record is from RefSeq and is a predicted model, not a curated record. Lineage: Eukaryota; Metazoa; Arthropoda; Malacostraca; Decapoda; Nephropidae. The transcript has 3 exons.